GCCAGGCGUGGUAGCCCACACCUGCAAUCCCAGGGACUUGGGGGCUGAGGCAGGAGGAUGGCAAGUUUAAGGCCAGCCUCAGCAAUUUAGCAAGACCUAGUCUCAA
Molecule: small RNA, 106 nt
Filed under: Marmota monax (woodchuck)
Lineage: Eukaryota; Metazoa; Chordata; Mammalia; Rodentia; Sciuridae
Source: RNAcentral